CCCAGCAUGGUGUAGUGGUUUGAGUGUUGGACUAUGACUCUGGAGAUCAGGGUUCAAUUCCCUGCUUAGGCA
Molecule: non-coding RNA, 72 nt
Organism: Phrynosoma platyrhinos (Desert horned lizard)
Lineage: Eukaryota; Metazoa; Chordata; Lepidosauria; Squamata; Phrynosomatidae
Source: the annotation of a GenBank genome assembly